This 662-nucleotide ribosomal RNA is filed under the name uncultured Bacteroidota bacterium. Its description in RNAcentral is "uncultured Bacteroidetes bacterium partial 16S ribosomal RNA". It matches the Rfam family "Bacterial small subunit ribosomal RNA", at positions 50 to 697 of the family's 1533-position model. The record is from RNAcentral. Lineage: Bacteria; Pseudomonadati; Bacteroidota.
AACACAUGCAAGUCGCGGGGCAGCAUAGGGUUUUAGCAAUAAAAUUCGGAUGGCGACCGGCGCACGGGUGAGUAACACGUAUCCGACCUGCCCUUUACAAGGGGAUAGUCCUGCGAAAGCGGGUUUAAUACCCUAUGUGGCCUUGAUGUUGCAUGAUAUUGAGGUUAAAGGAGCAAUCCGGUAAAGGAUGGGGAUGCGUUCCAUUAGGUAGUAGGCGGGGUAACGGCCCACCUAGCCUACGAUGGAUAGGGGUUCUGAGAGGAAGGUCCCCCACAUUGGAACUGAGACACGGUCCAAACUCCUACGGGAGGCAGCAGUGAGGAAUAUUGGUCAAUGGGCGGAAGCCUGAACCAGCCAAGUAGCGUGCAGGAUGACGGCCUUCAGGGUUGUAAACUGCUUUUAUGCGGGAAUGAAAUGCGCCACGUGUGGUGUUUUGCAUGUACCGCAAGAAUAAGGACCGGCUAAUUCCGUGCCAGCAGCCGCGGUAAUACGGAAGGUCCGGGCGUUAUCCGGAAUUAUUGGGUUUAAAGGGAGCGUAGGCCGGCUUGUAAGUCAGUUGUGAAAACCGCGGGCUCAACCUGCGGCGUGCAAUUGAAACUGCAGGCCUUGAGUGCGCGCAGGGAUGCUGGAAUUCGUGGUGUAGCGGUGAAAUGCUUAGAUAU